AAACUUUCUUUCUCUCUCUUCUCUCUCGUACUCUCUCUUUUUAUCAGCAUCUCACACUUUCAUCUCUCCUCCUCUCUGACCCAUCCCAUCCUUCACCACAACCUCCACCACCACCUACAAAUGAAUCACUCGUGAGAGUGAGGAACUGACCGAAGGAGAGAAUAUUUGACGGCGAGAGGGAAGUUACGGCGAGGAAUAGAGAGUUCCGGCCGACACCAGAAAAGCUUCGACCACCACCAUCGGCACCACACCGCUUGCCUCUCACCACCGACCGCAACCUUUUUCUCUCUCUGCUAAGCUGAGUUUUCAAAUCAAAAUCACCGAAAAAGCCAGUCACGCCACCACCACAAAAGCUUUCGCAUAUUGACAGGUUUCUGUGUUAAGCCGUCACCGACGCCUUUCCAGGAGGUGCUUGAGUGUAUGUUUGAUUACAUUGAUAGGUUGUUUAACAUGGUGCGACCUAGGAAGCUGCUGUUUAUGGCUAUUGAUGGUGUUGCACCGAGGGCUAAAAUGAACCAGCAAUGGUCUAGGCGGUUUAGGGCAGCUAAAGAUGCAUCUAAUGCGGUAGGUUGCGCAGCUUAAUUUUGAAUUUUGGGUUUUAAAUUGUAUAGAUGUUGUUUGAUUGCAUUGAUAGGUUGUUUCACCAAUGUUUUGGAUCAUUUUAGAUUCUUUAUCUCAAAUCAGGAAGAAACACAUACUUGAUACAGUGCUAAAUGUCAUUUCUUAACUCUUAUUUGACCUCACAUUCAAACUCUUAUUCCAUCUCAAGUUUGCAGAAUGAAGCCUCCCUCUUCCUUAGCAUUCCAUCUUCCCUUUUAUCAAAUCCUUUUUCCCCUUAGCACUUGCUUUCUUAUCAUUCCUCUCCACUUUCAUUUAAAUUACUUACCAGCUACCAUUUCAUUACAUCAUUUCUUUUGGUCAUGCGGCGUACAUUAGUGGCAAAUAAGUUACUCAACAAGCGACUCGGAAUUGAUAGUUUUGCAGCAGAUUAUCCAAAUUAUAUACCAGUUAUCUCUGAGCACUAAGACCAUUCUUAAUGCAGCAUAUCUUUCCAAUUUUAUGCUCAUGUUUAUCAGAUACUCUAAUGUUGCUGAAAUCUGGUGUCAUUUGGAUUUACUUUGACAAAGCAAUAGUAGUGCUACAACAUUGUAGUGUAGGGGGAUUAGAACAAAUCACUAUUUUAUGAAAUCCAUGAUUGACAACACUGCGAGUAGUUCAUUCUUGCAUAUGCUCUGAUUUAUGUAUGUUACUGAUAGAUGAGUUCAAACUUAUUCUUUCCUUUGCAUUCAUAUGUAUAUACUAUGUAUGACUUUGAUUCAUGCUUAUUGUUUAUCUAUUGAUUGCAAUUGGCAAAUGCUUUAAACAAUUUUAUUACUAAUGUUUUCCAUAAUUUUGAGUCUAUAUAUGAUUGCUUCUACACCUGCCGUGGCUAUGAUUUUUUGUUUUGUGGAGUUUACUGAACCCAAAUGCGCUCUCACCGCCAUGGAAGCUCUGCAAGCUAAAUGGUUUUCUUUUUUGUAUAUAUAACUGAGUUUGAUGUCUACUCACAGGGUCAAUAUAACUGAGUUUGAUGCUUGGUACAUUAUAGGGAAUUGUCUGAAAAUUAGGAAAUAUAGACCUCUGAAUUAUGAGAUCUCAUUCUAUGAUUGAUGUGGAUCAAAAUAUAGAACACUAACACCAGAACUAAACACUAUAUAAUAGUGGCCAUAUGGUUUAAUUUUGACGAAUUAUUGUGCAUUUUAAACUCUUUUUCUUCAUAUUGUUUAGUUCUGGUGUAAUUCACAAACUGUACACCAUGAUAAUUUAUGUGGUUGUUUGUGUAAAUUGAAUUUGGCUUCAUAGGUUAUAAUGAGGCUGGCCUAGAAAAACCUUAUACAUUCAAGACUGAUGAGAUGAAUGGAAGAUAGAAAUAAUUCUCAUAUGUUGAAGUGAGUUAUUUUCUCAUUCUUCGAUGCAUUUAUUUUAUUAUUUUACUACUUUUUGUGUAAAUUUUACAGCUUUAAUUAAUUCUCCUUUUACAAGUUUGAUUGAUUGCCUCAUUGAAUUGCACUUUCACGACUCAUGUUCUUUUUGGGUUAGAAAUGUGUAUCACAGUGCGCAAUGUUACUUUGAGACAAUUUCAGAGACUAAUAAUUUUGGUCCCUUAAUUUUUUCACAUUAUGGUUCUUAAUAUGUUUGGAUUAGGAUGGAAAAGGUGGUGAACUAACACAUGAUGAAACAACUAUCAUUGCUGGGGCACUUGAACUCUCUAAGAAAACUGCUGGUGAUGCCAUGAGUCCUAUAAAUGAAAUAUUUUCUAUUGAUAUUAAUUCAAAACUUGAUAGGUAAGUCAUGUAUCACAAUAAUUUAUAAAUUUUGGAAGUUCUGGAAGAGGCCUCACUAUGGAAUUCCAGUAUGUACUGCAAUUUUUGUUUGGGUGUGGGUACAUACACUUGUACCAGAUCUAUUGUUCGUACAUUCAAAUUUCUACCGCUAUUUGUGAUUUGUUGUAGUGUGCUGCAGGUUGAGAAAUUAGAUCUUAUAACUGCUGCUAUGGGACAUGCAUUGGCCACAGAAGGAGGAUUCUGCACCAGAAGUGCGAGAGUUAUAGAUCAUCAAGUUUUUAUAAAAUUGGUACUGCAUCUGAAUCUGUAAAUGCAACUUACAUAUUUUCCAGAAAAGAUCUUUCUCGGCCUGCUAUACAGCUUCCUUGUGCAAGCAAAGCUAUUGUAGGGUGGAUUUUGAUCUAGCUUGAAGGUUUUGAUCAUCUGUUAUAAGAGGAUAAAUUGAGGCACCAUGUUGUUUUUGACACACUCAGGGGUGAUUGGAUGAUUGCCUUUGGAAAUUGGGAAUUUGACCCAAUGAAGCUUAGUAAUCCAUUCCCUCACAAUAACAGAAGUUCAGUUCACAUUUGGCAGGGCUAUGAAGAUAAAGUAGUACCCUCUCAAAUUCAAAGAUUCAUUUCAGAGAAGCUACCAUGGAUACAAUAUCAUGAAGUUGUAGAUGGUGGUCAUUUGAUUGUACAUUAUAGUGGCUUAGGCGAGGCGAUUUUGAAGGCACUUUUACUUGGGGAAGAAGAUAUUUCAUAUAAACCUAGAUCAUCAAAAUCUGUAUCUUAAUUUUGCCAUGACUUUUAUCAUAAUCCAAUGUUUAUUAUUGGUUAAUUUUUUGGGGAAGUGCCAGAUAUGUAAAUCACAUUCUUUGGUUGAAAGGAGGAAACUAUCAUAUACAAUCAUGUAUACUGUCUUUAUUCUUUUUUGAAAGAAAUGUUAGAAACAUUUUUU
Molecule: long non-coding RNA, 3263 nt
Organism: Trifolium pratense (red clover)
Lineage: Eukaryota; Viridiplantae; Streptophyta; Magnoliopsida; Fabales; Fabaceae
Exons: 8
Source: RefSeq, a predicted model, not a curated record